RNAcentral lists this long non-coding RNA (5778 nucleotides) under Sus scrofa (pig). Its description in RNAcentral is "lncRNA (ENSSSCG00040007010.1)". The record is from RNAcentral. Lineage: Eukaryota; Metazoa; Chordata; Mammalia; Artiodactyla; Suidae.
UGGCGUAGGCCGGUGGCUACAGCUCCGAUUCAACCCCUAGCCUGGGAACCUCGGGAGUGGCCCAAGAAAUAGCAACAAUAACAACAACAACAACAACAACAAAGACAAAAGACAAAAAAAAAAAAAUGCACUGAAGAACAGGGAAAGGGUUUAAGCAGGGGAGUAGUGCAAUCAGAUUGGCUCAAUCUGCUGGGACUGGGGUUAAAAAGAAGCACAAGCUGAGGCUUGGAGAUCAACUUGGGGGUGGGGAGUGUUUUAUCUAAUGGGACCUGGUUCUGAAAUAGAGGCAGGAAGAAAGGACAGUAGAGGACGUUUGCCGAGUGAAGCAGGAGGUCAAGUGGACAGCAUGGGGGCAGCUGCAGCAUGUGAUGAGCAGAGAGAGGGAAGGCCCCUGGGGCCAGGUGGAUGGUGUGGAUUAGGAAAGGCUGGAGCAGGUUUGAGGCACAUUAAAUCUGAGGUGCCCAAGGGGUAGGAUGGGAAGGUCCCUGAUAUAGUUGUUCCCCCCAACUUGGGCAGCAGAGAAAGGCUAGGAGCUAUCAGUGCAGGUAAUUGGGGCCAUGGGAACCAUGGGGUCCACUCUGCCUACAUUUCUAGCCCAGCAACAGAGAGAGGCUCUUACUGGUUGUUAAACAGCAGAACCAUUGCAAUAUCACCAGAUCCCUCUGGGACCCCUGGGGAACAUUGUGCAAACCAGGACAUGGAUGCCCAGAGGCAGGAAAGCACUGGCUCUAGAACUCUGACCCAGAACUCCUGACUCCCUCUCAGCUUCUACCUUCACUGGGCCCCUUCAGGCUGCCCAUCCAUGGCCACACAGACAUGCAAAACUGCUCAAGUGGACCCCACUUGUGCAUCUAUGGGUACCAUGUUCCCCCACCCCCGGCAGAUGACAUCACCCUUAGCCUGGGGUCUCUUCCAUCGGGCCAUUUCCCAGAGUGGCACUGCAGUACUCAGAAUCUUAUCACUCCUGACCCAGUGAAGGUGGCCAAGGUAGGGACCUCCUCUCCCCCAGGGUCCAGCAAGGAGAGGCAGGAUAAGGGCACCCCCGAGCACAUCCUCUCUUCACAGAAGAUUGCCCGUCUGGCAGGUUGCAACCACAGCAGCACAAAGAUUCUGGUAGACUGCUCGAGGGCACGAUCAGAGACCGAGAUGAUGCGUAUGUCCAAGAAGAUGGUAGGUGGAAGUUCCUUCCAGCUCUCUGACCCAGCUGCCUGCAAACAACUCUUCUGACCUGAUACCCAGACCACCCCAGGGACCCUGACUCAGGAGCACAUUGGGGAGACUCCCUUUAACUCUAGUCCGCUUCUCUUCCCAAAGAAAUUCUUCCACCUGCACUCGCAUGAAGACCCGGAAGAGAUGAACAGGCUCCAUUCUGUAAUCUGAGCAGUUAUUGAACAUCUACUGGGCGCCAGGUAUUUAGGAUACUCGGUAAACUAUUUAGGCCAAAGUCUUUUGCCCGUGGGGCUGGGGUUCCAGUGAGGAGAGAUAAUAAACCCUACAAAUAAAUGAAUAUUCACCUCUGUAGGGAGUGAUAAGUGAAUAGCAACAAUAGGAGCAGGACAAGGAGGCUGGGCAUGUGGGGAGGGAUGGGGUUUUCUUUUUUCUUGUUUUUUGUAUUUUUUUUUCAGGGCCUGACCCAGGCUCAGGUUGCACCUGUGCCCUACCUUUUGGGUGUCAACAACCCAGAGUUCAGUUGGUUCUUGCCUUUUUUGGCAGAUGAGCUACAGCUCAGAGAGGUUGAGUGAGUUGCCCCAGGUCACGUGGCUAAUGAAUGGCAUGGACAGGAUUCAAAUCUGCUCCCUUGGUUCUGAAGCCCAAGCUCUUUACCCAGCUUGAUGCAGGAAGGAGAAGGUGCUGAGCCUCUGGAUGAUGAAAUACUGGGCCAACUCUGCCAGCACAGGGUGAGUCUGGGCCCCUGACUCAUCUGGGCAGUCAUUCUAAACCUGAUGACCAGCUGUUUCAGAUACUUGUCCUUGCAUGUCCCACAGAAAAUGUGUGAUCAACCCAAGCAGAAUGUCCCAUCUUUCCCUAGUCAGUCACCAGGUCCUCGAUGUCCCUAGAAUAGGUUCCUCUUUGUCCCAUGACCACACUCUUCACUCAAGCACUCCACAGUCACUGUCAAUGCUCUCUCAUGCCCAGCUCAAUACUGGGAGCUGGAGUUCAAGGCUAUCACAGACAUGACCCCCUUCUCCAGAGGCUUGUUAAUGUUUAACAGAAACAUCAGGGGAGUUCCCAUCGUGACUCAGCAGUUAACGAACCCAACCAGUAUCUAUGAGGACUCGGGUUCAAUCUCUGGACUCCUUUGAUGGGUUAAGGAUCCAGUGUUCCCAUGAGCUGUAAGGUAGGUCUCAGGUGCAGCUCAGAUGCCACGUUGCUGUGGCUGUGGCGUAGGCUGGCAGCUGUAGCUCUGAUUUGACCCCUAGCCUGGGAACCGCCACAUGCCUCAGGUGUGGCCCUAAAAGCAAAACAAACAAACAAAAAACAUCAAAUUACAAUCUGGUUUAGUGAGGAUUGUGUUGCGGGAUCAGAGGCACUUUGAGAGCAUCAAGGGGUGUCUGACCAAGCUGGGCUGUGGGGGGGUGGGGGGGGUUCCCUGGCAGAGAUGCCUAGUUCCCCAUCUCCACAUUCUCUCUGCAUUCUGUCCAUCUUCCUAUGACACUCAAGGGGUCUUUCUGAAUUAUCACCUCUUCAAACUCUGCAUGGCUUCCCUCUGCUCCCAGGUAAAGUCCCAUCCCCUUAGCUUGGCACAAAACUUUUUAAAACACUUCCUGUUUCAACUCCUCUCCGGAUCCAUCCUCUUCACACAUUCCGUGUUUUUACCUAACCCUGUACUUGCGCUUCCUCCCAAAGCCCUGGGCCUUCAUACCUCCAACCCUUUGCCCAUACUGUUCCCUCUGCCUGGAAGGUGCCUCUUUGCUAUACGCUUUCCUCUUCUUUCUUGAAGAUCUAAGUAUCAUCUCUGUAAAGCCUUCUUGGACCCCCAACUCCCAAGGCAAGGUGAAUGAGGGAAGGGUGAGAGAAGGAGGCAAGAUGAGGCAAGGUGAAUGAGAGAAGGGUGAGAGAAGGAGGCAAGAUGCACAGGAAUAAUCCUCUCUUCUGGGCAGAAACCCCAAUGGUGGGAAGCUGCCCCACUGGCUAUGUUACAACAAGGAUGAGAAGUACUUGCAGCUGGAUUUAACCACGAUGGGGGUGUGAAGCUUAAGGAGGAGAAAAUGGCCUUUUGGAUGAGGCUGCACCAGCACUAAGGACUGAGAAGCAGGGCAGUUCUGAGGCUGGCUAUGCAGGAGGGAGUCUUAGGGGUUGUCCCACCUCCCAGGCCUUGAGGAGAUUAGCCAUAGACACAUCUGGGACAAGCAUCUAGGCUCCCUGUUGCUUCAGUCUAGAGCCAGAGAUUUAGCCUUUGUUUGGGGCCCUGAACCACCCCCUUUAGCCUGACAUGCCAGAAUGCCCACCUAUCUCACUGACCAUCAGUUAGUCCAGGCCCUUUCACUGCCCUACUGUGCACAGCUACUCAGACUCAGAACAAAUGCUUCUCCCCCUUCUCCAAAUCCUCCCACCCAUCAAGGUCUACUUAAAGCCACUUCUUAUGGGAAGUCCACCCAGACUGCCACCGCUCCUAUCAUUGCACCUAGCUUGCUAUUUACCAUUUAAUCCUGUGCAACUUUGUGCCUGUUCCCAUUGGCCUGAGGCCUUGGGCAGGUUAUAUGUUACAAGGAGUGAAGCUUUGAUAGCUUGGAAUCUUCUGUUCCCUCCAUACCCAUUUCCCCAGGGCCCCUCCAAAGCCUGGACGCAGGAAUGAUCCUCAAUAAGAGCAUAUGACUUGCCCUGAAUGUUUCCAUCUGUCAGAUGGUUGGGUGAAGUAGAUAGUUUCUCAAUGGGAGACCAUGGAGGAAGGGAGCGCUGCCACCUGCUCCCUGUGAGGCUAAGCCUCCUCUGCUCACGCAGUCAAGGGGAGCUGCAGCAGAGUCGCCUGGCCUGCAGAACACUUGGCUUUUUUCCUUGUUGUCUCAAGUGCACCCCUCAGGACAUCCACAUUCUGAGCUCUCUGUCCAUUGGAUUAGGUCUUGGUGUUGCAUCCAGACUCCUCACUCUCUGGUGUAUCUAGCAACCUGACCUGGGCACACCCCAGCCCGUCCCACAGGUUUUUGUUUGGUUUUGGUCUCCCGCCUUCCUUCCUUCUUUCCUUCCUUUCUAGGGCCACAUCUGCAGCAUGUGGAAGUUCCCAGGCUAGGGGUCCAAUCGAAGCUGCAUCUGCCAGCCUACGCCACGGCCACAGCAACUCAGGAUCUGAGCCGCAUCUGAGACCUACCUCACAGCUCAUGGGAACACUGGAUCCUUAACCCACUGAGUGAGGCCAGGGAUCGAACCCACAUCUUCAUGGAUACUAGUUGGGUCCCUAACCCCCUGAGCCACAACAGGAACUCCCGUUUUGGUUUCUUUGUGGGGUUUUUGAGUGCUCAAGUAUGCCUAACACAAAAUGUACCAUUUUAACAAUUUUAAUUUCAGUGACAGUGAGUAUGGUCACAUUACCAUCACUACCAUCCAUCUUCAGAACUUUUUCAUCAUCCCAAACUGAAACCCUGUAUCCAUUAAACAAUAACUCCCUAUUUCCACUCAUCCCCAAACUCUGGUACCCACUCUUCUACUUCCUAUCCUAUAAUUUGUGUAUUCCAGGUACCUCAUAUAAGUGGAAUCACACAAUAUUUGUCCUUUUUUGUCUGGCUUAAUUCACUUAGCAUAUCUUCAAGGUUCAUCCACAUUGUAGCAUAUGACAGAAUUCUAUUCCUUUUUAGGACUGAAUAAUAUUCCAUUGUGUGUACAUACCACAUUUUGUUUUGGUUUUGAAUGAUUUUUAUUUUUUCCAUUAUAAUUGGUUUGCAGUGUUCUGUCAAUGUUCUACUGUACAGCAAGGUGGCCCAGUCACACAUACAUAUAUACAUUCUUUUUUUCACAUUAUCAUGCUCCAUCAUAAGUGACUAGAUAUAGUUCCCAGUGCUAUACAGCUGGAUCUCAUUGCUUAUCCAUUCCAAAGGCAAUAGUUUCUAUCUAUUAACCCCAGAUUCCAAGUCCAUCCCACUCUUUCCCCCUCCCCCUGGGCAACCACAAGUCUGUUCUCCAAGUCCAUGAUUUUCUUCUCUGUGGAAAGGGUCAUUUGUGUUGUAUAUUAGAUUCCAGAUGUAAGUGAUAUUGUAUGGUAUUUUUCUCUUUUUGGCUUACUUCACUUAGUAUGCGAGUCUUUAGUUCCAUCCAUGUUGCUGCAAAUGGCAUUAUUUUGUUCUUUUUGAUGGCUGAGUAGUAUUCCGUUGUGUAUAUAUACACCACAUCUUCUUAAUCCAGUCGUCUGUCGAUGGACAUUUGGGUUGUUUCCCUGUCUUGGCUAUUGUGAAUAGUGCUGCAAUGAACAUACAAGUGCAUGUGUCUUUUUCCACAUUUUGUUUAUCCAUUUACAUGUUUAUGGAUAUUUGCCUUGUUCCCACCUUUUGGUCAUUGUGAAAAAUGCUUAUGAACAUUAGUGUAGCAUACCAGAGAUUUUUAUGUCCCAAACUACAAAGUUGACUAGGGUCUUUAUUUUUAGGGGUUUCCUGAGUAUCUGAGAUAACUAGAGGCUGCAAAGACCCAUGUAAUAGGGGGCACCUGAUACUUCAUACCCCAGCAUUUCAGGCCCCAAAGCAAAAGGAUGGUUGGAGGAGUGGGGAGAACCCCUAUCAAGCAAAAGUUUAUCUUCACAACAAUGUUGUCACAUGGAUUUCAUUAAUCCUAUUCUACCAAUAAAGAAAUCAA